RNAcentral lists this ribosomal RNA (262 nucleotides) under uncultured bacterium. RNAcentral describes it as "partial 16S ribosomal RNA". It matches the Rfam family "Bacterial small subunit ribosomal RNA", at positions 793 to 1055 of the family's 1533-position model. The record is from RNAcentral.
GUCCACGCCGUAAACGAUGGGUGCUAGGUGUGGGGAGUGUCGACUCUCUCUGUGCCGAAGCUAACGCAUUAAGCACCCCGCCUGGGGAGUACGGCCGCAAGGCUAAAACUCAAAGGAAUUGACGGGGCCCGCACAAGCAGCGGAGCAUGUGGUUUAAUUCGACGCAACGCGAAGAACCUUACCAGGGCUUGACAUGCACGGGAAUGUCAUAGAAAUAUGGCAGCCCUUCGGGGCUCGUGCACAGGUGGUGCAUGGCUGUCGU